RNAcentral lists this unclassified non-coding RNA (468 nucleotides) under Hevea brasiliensis (rubber tree). The record is from RNAcentral. Lineage: Eukaryota; Viridiplantae; Streptophyta; Magnoliopsida; Malpighiales; Euphorbiaceae.
GCUGGAGCAGGGCAAGUUUGGCAGUUGGGUUUUUCUGGGCUUCUAUUGUGAAGAACGAUGGAGAGCUAUCAUUGGCCAUCUCUGAAACGUCCACACAGUGUGCUUGAUUUGGUAGACAUUGAUCUCUCCCUUUUCUGUAGGUUGGUUUCGAGUAGUCAAAGCACGCGUGGUACAGGAAACAGCAUCAACAAGUGAAGUAUGCAAAUCUUGGCAGUGCAUGCCGAAUACCCAUAUAAAGGAUUGAUAUUUCUAUGAAGUUAAAAGAAUACGCAUGAUAUUUGCAUAUGUCAUCUAGAAUUUCAUUGGGUUGGAACAUUCUUGAGAGAGGAAAUUUACAGGCAGUGAUUAACUCCUGGUGUCUGCAUCUGUUAGCUUCUAGUAAGAGUGGUCACGGGUGGGCUGUACCACUCCUUGACAAAUGUUGGAAAAUUAAUUGUUCAGUUUUGGAACUACAAAAGCUAAGCCUUA